AAUCUUUUCUCUCUUUUGAUUCUCUUCUCAAGAAAAUCAAAGAGAUCUUUAGAAAGAUCAAGAAAUCAGAUCUAAUCUGAUUUUUUUUCUUUCCUUAAGAGAAAGAAGAAGAUCUAGAGAAAAAAUAAGAGGUCAAAUCUUUUUUAUUUCUUUUCUUUCAUUAAACUCUUAGAUUGAAUAUGGAGAAGAAGGAGAUAAUAGAUGAAAUCUGAUUUCUUUAUCCAACUAUUGGAC
This 234-nucleotide long non-coding RNA is filed under the name Elaeis guineensis (African oil palm). RNAcentral describes it as "long non-coding RNA (EGUI_LNC017733)". The record is from RNAcentral. Lineage: Eukaryota; Viridiplantae; Streptophyta; Magnoliopsida; Arecales; Arecaceae.